Molecule: ribosomal RNA, 498 nt
Filed under: Triticum aestivum (bread wheat)
Lineage: Eukaryota; Viridiplantae; Streptophyta; Magnoliopsida; Poales; Poaceae
Description: partial small subunit ribosomal RNA
Source: RNAcentral
AUGGCUUCACCGGAGCCAUCGGCGGGCGGCGAUGCGGCCAGCCAGAGUGCUGCGGUGCAGCCGCUCCAGCUGCCAACGCCGGAGGAGAUCAAGGGGCAGGAGAUGAUGAACAACUGCGCCGUCCGGAGCGUCCUCAGUGGUGUCAUGGGGGGUGGUCUUGGUGUACUUAUGGGACUAUUUUUUGGAGCUUUGGAAAAUCCAAUAAUGUCAGAGGAGAUGACAGCAAGGCAACAAAUAGUCUACCAGGCAAAACAGAUGGGCAGGAAAAGUAUGAGCCAUGCUAAGACCUUUGCAGUAAUGGGCUUGAUUUUCUCUGCAGCUGAAUGCGUCGUAGAGAAGGCUCGGGCAAAGCAUGACAUUACCAAUUCGGCAGUAGCUGGCUGUGUCACAGGAGGGGCUUUAGCUGCAAAAGGUGGCCCUCAGGCCACAUGUAUCGGGUGUGUGGGUUUUGGUGCCUUCUCCGUGGCGAUUGAGAAGUUCAUGGAACGGCAUACUUGA